This 428-nucleotide ribosomal RNA is filed under the name uncultured bacterium. RNAcentral describes it as "partial 16S ribosomal RNA". It matches the Rfam family "Bacterial small subunit ribosomal RNA", at positions 354 to 796 of the family's 1533-position model. The record is from RNAcentral.
GUGGGGAAUAUUGGGCAAUGGGCGCAAGCCUGACCCAGCAACGCCGCGUGAGGGAAGAAGGUUUUCGGAUUGUAAACCUCUGUCCUGGGGGACGAAAAAAAUGACGGUACCCCGGGAGGAAGCCCCGGCUAACUACGUGCCAGCAGCCGCGGUAAUACGUAGGGGGCGAGCGUUGUCCGGAAUUACUGGGCGUAAAGGGUGCGUAGGCGGCAUGUUAAGUUGGAUGUGAAAUACCCGGGGUCAGACUGGGGGGUGCAUCCAAAACUGGCAAGCUAGAGUGCAGGAGAGGAAAGCGGAAUUCCUAGUGUAGCGGUGAAAUGCGUAGAUAUUAGGAGGAACACCAGUGGCGAAGGCGGCUUUCUGGACUGCAACUGACGCUGAUGCACGAAAGCGUGGGGAGCAAACAGGAUUAGAAACCCGGGUAGUCC